GGUCUAUCAAUUCUAUAAUAGAUGAACGUACCAUCUCUGCUCACAAGGAAAGCAAAUGAGAAAAUUUAACAUAAUAUACAGAAAUUAGGAAGCAUAUGCUUUCUAAUAUUAAAAUUUAAGUAGGAUCAACCUCCAGAAGGAUCAGAGACAAGCUAUGAAAUGUAUCAUCAAAUUUCUAUCUUGUGGAAAUCAUUCAUAUUACCAAAGCAAAGUUGUAUUAUCUCAACUGGGGUUUCAGGAUAUCAUCUUGGAGACUGAUUGGUUGCGGAG
This 270-nucleotide unclassified non-coding RNA is filed under the name Hevea brasiliensis (rubber tree). The record is from RNAcentral. Lineage: Eukaryota; Viridiplantae; Streptophyta; Magnoliopsida; Malpighiales; Euphorbiaceae.